This 497-nucleotide ribosomal RNA is filed under the name uncultured bacterium. RNAcentral's name for it is "partial 16S ribosomal RNA". It matches the Rfam family "Bacterial small subunit ribosomal RNA", at positions 28 to 507 of the family's 1533-position model. The record is from RNAcentral.
GAUGAACGCUGGCGGCGUGCCUAAUACAUGCAAGUCGAGCGAACGGACGAGAAGCUUGCUUCUCUGAUGUUAGCGGCGGACGGGUGAGUAACACGUGGAUAACCUACCUAUAAGACUGGGAUAACUUCGGGAAACCGUAGCUAAUACCGGAUAAUAUUUUGAACCGCAUGGUUCAAAAGUGAAAGACGGUCUUGCUGUCACUUAUAGAUGGAUCCGCGCUGCAUUAGCUAGUUGGUAAGGUAACGGCUUACCAAGGCAACGAUGCAUAGCCGACCUGAGAGGAUGAACGGCCAGACUGGAACUGAGACACGGUCCAGACUCCGACGGGGGGCAGCGGUAGGGAAUCUUCCGCGAGGGGCGAGAGCCUGACAGAGCAACACCGCGUGAGUGAUGAAGGACUUCGGAUCGUAAAACUCUGUUAGUAGGGAAGAACAUAUGUGUAAGUAACUGUGCACAUCUUGACGGUACCUAAGCAGAAAGCCACGGCUAACUACGUG